RNAcentral lists this ribosomal RNA (253 nucleotides) under uncultured bacterium. RNAcentral describes it as "partial 16S ribosomal RNA". It matches the Rfam family "Bacterial small subunit ribosomal RNA", at positions 524 to 776 of the family's 1533-position model. The record is from RNAcentral.
UACAGAGGGUGCGAGCGUUGUCCGGAAUCACUGGGCGUAAAGGGCGCGUAGGUGGCGACCCAAGUCGAUGGUGAAAGCUCGCCGCUCAACGGCGAGUCGGCCACCGAUACUGGGUUGCUUGAGCACGGUAGAGGCUAAUGGAAUUCCGGGUGUAGCGGUGGAAUGCGUAGAGAUCCGGAAGAACACCGGUGGCGAAGGCGGUUAGCUGGGCAGUUGCUGACACUGAGGCGCGACAGCGUGGGGAGCAAACAGG